Transfer RNA from Felis catus (domestic cat), 85 nucleotides. It matches the Rfam family "tRNA". From Rfam's summary of the family: Transfer RNA (tRNA) molecules are approximately 80 nucleotides in length. Their secondary structure includes four short double-helical elements and three loops (D, anti-codon, and T loops). The record is from Rfam. NCBI's taxonomy places the organism in Eukaryota, Metazoa, Chordata, Mammalia, Carnivora, Felidae.
GCCUGGGUGGCUCAGUCGGUUGAGCGUCUGACUUCGGCUCAGGUCACGGUCUCACGGUCCGUGAGUUCGAGCCCCGCAUCGGGCU